RNAcentral lists this long non-coding RNA (5968 nucleotides) under Homo sapiens (human). Its description in RNAcentral is "HSALNT0074357". Lineage: Eukaryota; Metazoa; Chordata; Mammalia; Primates; Hominidae. The record is from RNAcentral.
GGAUUGCUUGAGGUUGGGAGGUCGAAGCUGCAGUGAGCCAUGAGUGUGUCACUGCACUCCAGCCUGGGUGACAGAGUGAAACCCUGUCUCAAAAAAUAAAAAUAAAAGUAAAUACAAAAUUCCUCCUAUAGUUAGCCUGGAAUGAGCAAAGACAGCUUGUGAGGUUAGAAGGAAGAUGGAGUCAGUUAUGUUAGAUUUCCCUCACUCAUAAUUUUUGCAAAAGUAGUUAGUCUUUCUUGAUUAAGUCCUCCUGGUUGCUGUAAGCUUUUGCUUAGGUUCUAGAAUUCUAAAAAAGUUGAUUCUGGCAGUUUUUGCCAGUUUAUUUAUUGCUUUUUUGGAGGGACUUUUGAUGUUCCUUAUUCUUCCCUGUUCAUGGAUGUCACCCCUACAUGCUUUUCUUACAAUGUGACUUUUGCAGUCCUCUCACCAAGAGGUGGGGCCUAUGUUCCAUUCUAUGAGACUGGGUGGGACUUACGACUGCUCCAACCAAACAAGGACAACAGAGGCCAUGGUUUGUAACUUUCUAAGCUAGGUUAUGAUACAGCUUCUAGCUGACUCACUUUUUUCAAGAGCUGGGGUUAGACAAUUGCUCUGGGGAAGUCAGCUACCACACUGUGAGAAGCCCAGAUUCACCCAUAUGGAGAAAAACUAAGGCCUCAAGCUGACAGCCAGCCUUGACCUCCAGACACAAGAAUAGGCUGGUCUUCAGAUGCUUCCAGCGUCCAGCCUUCAAGCUCUCUAGUAGAGACCCCAGACUUCAGAGAAAAGCUGUCCCUGCUGUGCCCUGUCUGAAUUCCUGACCCACAGAAUCUUUUGUCUCUUCCAGAAUUGAAGCUGUAAAGCUACAAAUGAUUCUUCAAAUGGAGCCCCAGAGGCAGUCCAUGACUAAAAUCUACUGCGGACCCUUAGACCGGCCUGCCAGCCCAUGCUCCAAUGUUGAUGACAUCCAAGGUCUGUGUUUGUUCCGGUUCGAACUGAGCUUUCGCUCGCCAUCCACCACUGCUGAUUGCUGUCGUCGCAGAUGCCGCCGCUGACUUCCACCCCUCCGGAUCCGGCAGGAUGUCCACUGCACUUCUGAUCCAGUGAGGCAGCGCCCACUGCUGCUCCCAAUCAGGCUAGAGGCUCACCAUUGUUCCUGCGUCAGCUAAGUGCCUGGGGUUCAUCCUAAUCAAACUGAAGAGAGCUAUAACACUCAUUGCAUGGCCCAAGAUUCCAUUCCUUGGAAUCCGUGAGGCCAAGAACCCCAGGUCAGAGAACAAGAGGCUUGCUGCCAUCUUGGAAGUGGCCUGCCACCAUCUUGGGAGCUUUAAGAACAAGGACCCCCCAGUAACACCAUGAUUCAAUUACCUCCCACUGGGUCCCUCCCAUGACACAUGGGAGUUAUGGGAACUACAGUUCAAGAUGAGAUUUGGGUGGAAACACAGCCAGACCAUAUAAGGCCUGUGGCCACAGCAUGUCUGACUGUUGGAAGAACACAAGGAGGCAGAGGGACGAACAGAGAGAAGGAAAGGUGUAAAGGCAGACCUUGUUAGGCCUUGUAAAGCAUUUUAAUGAUUGGGGUUUUUAGUCUGAGUACAAGGAGUUCUGAGUGCUGAGUGAUGAGUGCUGAAGGGUUUUAAGCAGAAGAGAGAUGACGAUGUAAGCUUUUUUUUUUUUUUUUUUUUAAGACAGGGUCUCACUCUGUUGCCCAGGCUACAGUGCAGUGGCACAAUCUCAGGGCCCCCUGCAGCCUUGACCUCCCAGGCUCAGGUGAUCUUCCCUCCUCAGCCUCCUGGGUAGCUGGGACUACAGGUGUGUGCCACCAUGCCUGGCUAAUUUCUUGUAGAGUCAGGGUAUCACCAUGUUGCCCAGGCUGGUCUUGAACUUCUGGGCUCAAGUGAUCCUCCCUCCUGGGCCUCCCAAAGUGCUGGGAUUACAGGCAUGAGCCACGUCAGGCCUAAUUUAGCUUUUAGAGAGAUCAUUUUGACUUCUGUAUUAAGGACACACCUUAGCAAAUGAUGGAAGAAGAGAGACUAAUUUUUAUAAGUUAUUAUAAAAAUCCAGGAGAGAUAGCAGUGGUUUGGACUAGAUAGUGGCAGUGGAUGAAUUCUAGUAUACUUUAAAGGUAGAGCAGAAAGGAUUUGGGGUGUGCGAGAGAGAAGAGAUGAGGAUUGCUCCAAAAUUUCAGUGUGAGCAACUGAAAGACGGGUUGUCUCUAACUUGGGUGGAAGGAAUGCAUUUAAAGAGAUUAGAUCAGAAUGUGUUAAACUUGGGAAGCCUUUCAAGUGAAGAUGCUAUAAGGGUAGUUGAAGACACAGAUCUAUGGUAUUGAGGAUAGAGGUCUGGCCUGGAGCACCUGGGAAAUGUCAGCCCAUGGCAAUAUUUAAAACUGGAAUACCGGACAAGGUCACUCAGAGAGUGAGUGUGGGUAGGAAAGACGAGUUGCCAGGACGGAGCCAUGGGGUACUCCAGUGUUGGGAUGGCAGGGAGAAUGUGGCCCAGCAGAGGAAGCUGGGUGGAGAGAGAAGCAGGAGGCAAAUUAAAAGGGCACAAUAUUCUGAGAGCCAAGUAAAAAUGUUUUAAGCAGAGAGGUGGCGAGGGGGGUGAUCAAAUUGUGAAGUGUUGCUUAUCGAUCUAGGUACGGUAAGAAAAGCACUGAGAAUCAAAUAGUGCCAACCCCACAGAUGGUCUCUUUCCUCUCUUUCUGAAUUAUGAUGGCUUCUCUAAUGAUUCUUUGGAACUUGCGCCUCAAAGGAAUGACAAUGACUAAAGAAGUUGAGGAUCCUGUGGCGGUCACUGGGCUGUUCACAAACGCAUCUCCCAUUGUGGGCACAUGGUAGGAGUGCCAUGCUUAGAGAAGGCCACUCGGUUUCCUUUGCCAGUGAAAUGUAAGCUAAGGAAAGUUUGCCAUUCCUGGCAGGAGCUCUGAGAGCCAGGGAGCAGUCUGCCACAUUUCCUUGGCAGUGAGCAACUGUGGAAGCAUGUGCCGAGAGGAAACGUCUAUCAGCCAUGGUCGGAGUUGUUACAAUGAGCAGAAUCCCCUGCUGAACUUGGAUAGACAUCCAGUAUGAGAAAUAAACUUUAGUUUUAUUAGUUUUAUGUUGGGACAGCAAAACCUAAACUAUCCUGAGGACGCAAUGCCUAAAUACAAAAAUAAUAUAAACAGUGGUAUCCAGUCUCCAUUGAUAACCAGUAGAUUAUACAUUUCAGGAUACGAAAUUUUACUUUUCCACACCAGGGAUAGAGAAAAUCCAGCAAAUAACAUAGAUGAUAAAACUUGACCUCAUUGUAAGUUCGCUUUUUUUUGUUUUUUUUUUUUUUUUUGGAAUGGAGUCUCGCUCUUUCUCCCAGGCUGGAGUGAUGUAGUAGUGUGAUCCUGGUUCACCGCAACCUCCGCCUCCUGGGUUCAAGCAAUUCUCCUGCCUCAGCCUCCCAAGUAGCUGGGAUCACAGGCAUGUACCACCACGCCCGGCUGAUUUUUGUAUGUUUUAGUAGAGACAGGGUUUCACCAUGUUGACCAGGCUGGUCUUGAACUUGUGACCUCAGGUGAUCUGCCUGCCUCGGUCUCCCAAAGUGCUAGUAUUACAGGCGUGAGCCACCUUAUGGGAUCACUGUCUUAUAUUCAGUGUUCUUUUGACUGAAACAUUGCUAUGGGUGCAUGGCUAUAUUUGGUCUUUGUCCCCAGUUCCUGCACAGAACUUCUAAAACCGUUGACGUUUACUGAGAGAGGUGUCUUUUGUUCUACAUAAUGAGCCCCUUUUGAUCACACUUGAGUUUAUGCUAAUGAGGUUACUUAGGGUGGGGCCCCUGGAUAGACUCAGGCUCAGGCUGGUCAGCAGAAACACCUCCUGACCUUUGAGCUUUGGGGAGAGAGGGCAUCUGGAGAUCCAGCUCCAUAAAAUAAACUCUUGAAUGGUACGAUUUGGACAGCUCCCAGGUAGAUGAACACAGCGAGGUGCUGGGAGGAUGAUGCGCUCUGGGUGGGCGUGGAGCUCCAUGCACCUCCCCAUGCCUUGCCCUAUGCUUCUUUUCAAUUUGGCUCUUCCUAAGUUGUAGCCUUCAUCAUAAACCUGCAAAUGUAAGGAUUUUCCAGAGUUCUGUGAGCUGUUCUAGCAAAUUAUUUGAACCUUAAGCGGGCAGUGUGUGGGAGCCCCUUCGACUUUGUAGCCAAUAUGGACAGAAGUGAGGGUCACCGGUGGACCCAGUAUCUGUGACUGGCAAUGGAAGUGAGGCAGUCUUGUGGGACUCAGCCCUUAAACCUGUGGAACCUGACACUAACUCCGGGUAGUUAGUGUCACAAUUGAAUUGUAGAUACUCAAUUGGUGUCCGGAAGAAUCAGAGAAUUGGUUGAUGGUGUUGGAAAACACCCUACCAAUAUAACACUUAAGUUCAUUUUUAGCAUAAUAUCUGACUGGGUUUUCAGAUGUUUUAAUAUUAGAGAAGAAAUGGUGGUGUAAGAGACAAAGAAAUAACAAUUAUGCAUAAAAGAAUUUUAUUUAGUGGCCAGAUCCCAAUGAAUAAUGUCAGUCAUUGCUUGGUUCUGCUAAAAUGUGGUAUUAGAUAUAUUCUUAAGAAAGUGUACAAUUGCAUCACCAAAAGCUGUUUAAUUUGGAUUGUGUAGAAUAAAAGAAAACUACAUAAGUCUUUGUUCUUUGAUAAAAAUUUUAAAAUAUAAAAAUGAAAAAAAGAAACCCAAAAGCAGUAUUCAAAACUAACAAAUGUCACCUUGGACUAUUUACAGUAAGACGCCUUUUUGACAGGAGAAUCUUGUUCUCAGCUUGUUCUUUUCCUCACAUUUUACUUACAGGGAUUCUCACUCCCCCAUCUGAUCCCUAUUCAUAACUUCUUCCAUUCCUGUCUCACAUGAAACAGCCAUCUUCCAUGCUCUCUCACUCAUCUUUGAGUCUCUCUCUGACACUCCUUUUUCCUACUCUUAAAUUAUUAAUAAUUCUAUUCAACAGACAUUUAUUGAGCACCUAGUAUGUGCCAGGCACUGUGUUAAGAGGUGGGGAACAAUACAGAGAUGAAAAGACAUUGACCUUUUCCUCAAGAAAUUCAGACUUUGGGUUGAAUUAAAAAACGUUUUUCUUUUUUUCUUUUUUUUUUGAGAUGGAGUUUUUAGCUCUUUUUGCCCAGGCUGGAGUGCAAUGGCGUGAUCUCGUCUCACCGCAACCUGCCUCCCGGGUUCAAGUGAUUCUCCUGCCUCCGCCUCCUGAGUAGCCGGGAUUACAGGCAUGCGCCACCACACCAGGCUAAUUUUGUAUUUUUUUUAGUAGAGACGGGGUUUCUUCACAUUGGUCAGGCUGGUCUCGAGCUCCCAACCUCAGGUGAUCCGCCCGCCUCAGCCUCCCAAAGUGCUGGGAUUACAGGUGUGAGCCCCACACCCAGCCUAAAAAAUGUUUUUCAUAUUAUAUUCCAGGUAAUCCCAGACCUCUAUGGGGUAAAUCUGGGGAUUUCUUGGAAGAAAGUGCACUCAUGGAGGGUCUGUCCACUUGGCUCACUCCAACAGUUUGAAUUUGGAAUUCUGCUUUUCUUCAUGAAGCACAGUCUCAUAAGCCCACACCUACGGUCUGAGUUCUGAACUCUCAGCAGGUGGGAACUGGGAACUGCGGGUUGGCUAGCAGGGGGGCCAGCUGUGUCAAUUUGGUUUUUAGGAAGGGUAUUCUUUUAAUUGGCUUCUACAAAUUCCAAAUUUGAAAAGCCCUUAAUCCAAAAAAAAAAAAAACCCUACUAAAUUUGAGCAAAAGAUACAUAUUAACAAAGUCUCCCCUGAUUUGGACUUGCAACAAGAUACUGUAAGGUGCCUAUCUUUGAUAAAUGUCCAGCAGCAGCUCUUUUUAUUACCUCUGCACAUCCAUAUUUCUUUCCAUUUUUCUGUGAUAUUUUCUUAGCUUCCCACGUAAGCCUGCAGGUGACCUCAGUUUUUCUUUGAUCAUGGUUGAACCCAAAGCAAGCUCAGCUCUUGCAUUUGGUCUACAUCUUUGUCCAU